GCCGAAGUGGCUCAGUGGCAGAGCACCAUCUUGGUAAGAUGGGGGUCACGGGUUCGAUUCCCGUCUUCGGCU
RNAcentral lists this transfer RNA (72 nucleotides) under Pseudomonadales bacterium. RNAcentral describes it as "tRNA-Thr". It matches the Rfam family "tRNA". From Rfam's summary of the family: Transfer RNA (tRNA) molecules are approximately 80 nucleotides in length. Their secondary structure includes four short double-helical elements and three loops (D, anti-codon, and T loops). RNAcentral also lists the same sequence under 1 other name. Lineage: Bacteria; Pseudomonadati; Pseudomonadota; Gammaproteobacteria; Pseudomonadales. The record is from RNAcentral.